This 253-nucleotide ribosomal RNA is filed under the name uncultured bacterium. RNAcentral's name for it is "partial 16S ribosomal RNA". It matches the Rfam family "Bacterial small subunit ribosomal RNA", at positions 524 to 776 of the family's 1533-position model. The record is from RNAcentral.
UACGUAGGGUGCGAGCGUUGUCCGGAAUUAUUGGGCGUAAAGGGCUCGUAGGCGGUUUGUCGCGUCGGGAGUGAAAACACCGGGCUUAACUCGGUGCUUGCUUUCGAUACGGGCAGACUAGAGGUAUGCAGGGGAGAACGGAAUUCCUGGUGUAGCGGUGAAAUGCGCAGAUAUCAGGAGGAGCACCGGUGGCGAAGGCGGUUCUCUGGGCAUUACCUGACGCUGAGGAGCGAAAGUGUGGGGAGCGAACAGG